UGGGGAAUAUUGGGCAAUGGGCGCAAGCCUGACCCAGCAACGCCGCGUGAAGGAAGAAGGUUUUCGGAUUGUAAACUUCUGUCCUAAGUGACGAAGGAAGUGACGGUAGCUUAGGAGGAAGCCCCGGCUAACUACGUGCCAGCAGCCGCGGUAAUACGUAGGGGGCGAGCGUUGUCCGGAAUGACUGGGCGUAAAGGGCGUGUAGGCGGCCGAUUAAGUCUGGAGUGAAAGUCCUGCUUUCAAGGUGGGAAUUGCUUUGGAGACUGGUUGGCUUGAGUGCGGAAGAGGUAAGUGGAAUUCCCAGUGUAGCGGUGAAAUGCGUAGAGAUUGGGAGGAACACCAGUGGCGAAGGCGACUUACUGGGCCGUAACUGACGCUGAGGCGCGAAAGCGUGGGGAGCGAACAGG
RNAcentral lists this ribosomal RNA (407 nucleotides) under uncultured bacterium. RNAcentral's name for it is "bacterial SSU rRNA". It matches the Rfam family "Bacterial small subunit ribosomal RNA", at positions 355 to 776 of the family's 1533-position model. The record is from RNAcentral.